GAUGAACGCUGACAGAAUGCUUAACACAUGCAAGUCGACAUGAACUUCGGUUUGUGUGGCGUACGGGUGAGUAACGCGUAACGAACUUGCCUCACAGAUCGGGACAACAUUUGGAAACGAAUGCUAAUACCUGAUAUUAUGAUUAUAUGGCAUCGUAUCAUUAUGAAAGCUAUAUGCGCUGUGAGAGAGCUUUGCGUCCCAUUAGCUAGUUGGAGAGGUAACGGCUCACCAAGGCGAUGAUGGGGAGCCGGCCUGAGAGGGUGAUCGGCCACAAGGGGAAUGAGACACGGCCCGUACUCCUACGGGAGGCAGCAGUGGGGAAUAUUGGACAAUGGACCAAGAGUCUGAUCCAGCAAUUCUGUGUGAACGAUGAAGUUUUGCGGAAUGUAAAGUGCUUUCAGUUGGGAAGAAAAAAAUGACGGUACCAACAGAAGAAGUGACGGCUAAAUACGUG
RNAcentral lists this ribosomal RNA (454 nucleotides) under uncultured bacterium. Its description in RNAcentral is "partial 16S ribosomal RNA". It matches the Rfam family "Bacterial small subunit ribosomal RNA", at positions 28 to 507 of the family's 1533-position model. The record is from RNAcentral.